Molecule: ribosomal RNA, 260 nt
Filed under: uncultured bacterium
Lineage: Bacteria
Description: partial 16S ribosomal RNA
Rfam family: Bacterial small subunit ribosomal RNA
Source: RNAcentral
CGAGUGGCGGACGGGUGAGUAAUGUCUGGGAACUGCCUGAUGGAGGGGGAGUAACUACUGGAAACGGUAGCUAAUACCGCAUAACGUCGCAAGACCAAAGAGGGGGACCUUCGGGCCUCUUGCCAUCGGAUGUGCCCAGAUGGGAUUAGCUAGUAGGUGGGGUAACGGCUCACCUAGGCGACGAUCCCUAGCUGGUCUGAGAGGAUGACCAGCCACACUGGAACUGAGACACGGUCCAGACUCCUACGGGAGGCAGCAUG